RNAcentral lists this long non-coding RNA (460 nucleotides) under Helianthus annuus (common sunflower). RNAcentral describes it as "sRNA HanXRQr2_Chr04g0175041". Lineage: Eukaryota; Viridiplantae; Streptophyta; Magnoliopsida; Asterales; Asteraceae. The record is from RNAcentral.
UUUUUUCUAUUCUUCUCUCUAUACGUUAGUGUUCUAACCAAUAAUCACCGAUGCGAUGUUCUGUCCAAGCAAUUCAGGAACCAUCUAACAAAUGCCAAAGUGCUGUACUUUGUGAAUUUCGGUAAACGGAAUCCAAAGUGUGAUACUUUGUGAAUUUUGUUAAGGUUCGAAUCUCGUGACUACCGUUAGGUUUGAUUUGGGUUUUACACAAAUACGUAUUCCAUUCUGUUAAACUAUAUGUUUAACUACCAGAAUACUCCCAACUACACACUUACAAUCAAACAAGCUGUUAAAUCAUCAGAAGGUUCAGAACAAUAAAGUAUACGCUUAAUUAUCAGAAGGAAUAGAAUCAAGAAGCUUGCUAAAUCAUGCUUAUACUGUAAUUACAGUAGAUCGGAAUAAGAGUUGGAUACGGCACCAAAUGGCUUACAGAAGUGGCUUGAUUUAUCAAUUAAAUUAA